Molecule: long non-coding RNA, 702 nt
Organism: Triticum dicoccoides
Lineage: Eukaryota; Viridiplantae; Streptophyta; Magnoliopsida; Poales; Poaceae
Exons: 2
Source: RefSeq, a predicted model, not a curated record
GAGGCAGCCAUAUCGCAGAUCGACUUCAUUUCGACGCAACCACUAGAGAGACUGUCUCGGUCUCCAUUCCUUUGCCUAGCUAAUGGGGAUGGCACUUGCUCCACGCUCGUCUCUGUCUCUGCGCUCCCUGCUGCUGCUCAUGUCGCACAGGAAGCCACAUCAGAGCUCUUUCUUCUCCUCCGCCGCGGUUCCGCCUGCGGCUCCAGGAACUGGCACUCCGGCUGCUCCUGCCGUUCAGCCUCCAGCCGCUCCAGAUCCUGAUCUUGCAGUUCCUGAAGGUCCGCGCGGAUCUAGCCGUGAUGGUCCGCCACGCCAACCUCCUGGAACUAUGGAUAUAGAUGCUAAAGACCCAGGCAAGAAGACUCUCUAACAGCUAAUAAUACAAAUUCAGUGGGAGCCUUUCCCACUGUCCUCAAGGUUCAAAAAAAAAAAAAAAAAGAGUCACCGGCAAGUCAUCAGAUUUCGCCUACGGCACUUCAACGUGUACUCCUUGAUGCAGCCACCCACCGUACGAACUGCAGAAGUCCUCCUCUCCCGGAAUAAUACUGAAUUGCCAACUGUUGGGGCGCUACGAGCAAAUGCUUGCUUGCUGCGGUUACUGCCGUGUUACCUCUGUGGACAUGUAAUCUCAGUGCUGUCAUAUUAUUGAUCUUUGUACCGUUCCAAUCUACUUCAACAAAUAAAGGUGUGCGUUAGAUUCUA